This 495-nucleotide long non-coding RNA is filed under the name Nicotiana benthamiana. RNAcentral's name for it is "long non-coding RNA (NBEN_LNC004337)". Lineage: Eukaryota; Viridiplantae; Streptophyta; Magnoliopsida; Solanales; Solanaceae. The record is from RNAcentral.
CUCUACGACAGAGCAUAUCCAUUAUUUCCAUUAUAGAGCCAAUCACACUGCUCUCUCUCUUUCCGGCCGGUAUGUAGAAUCGUCGGAGCGAUCAGAGCAAGCGGUUCAAAGAGCUUCCAAAAGAAUGCCUGUCUGAGAGGGUCUCGUCCGGGAAAAGAAAGGUUAAAGAGUCAGUCGGCUUGCCACGCUUGCCUUACCUCAGAGAUGAAGCCGAAGGAAAAAACCUGAUGGUAUGUAGAAUCAUCGGAGCGAUCAUAGCAAGCGGUUCAAAGAGCUUCCAAAAGAAUGCCUGUCUGAGAGGGUCUCAUCCGGGAAAAGAAAGCUUAAAGAGUCAGUCUGCUUCCCACGCUUGCCUUACCUCAGAGAUGAAGCCGAAGAAAAAAACCUGAGGAGUUGUUCUCCUCUGAGGGAGUGGAAACCGUCUCUCCUUCUUAUUGAUAGCAUUGGUCUCGGCCCUCGCUGGGCAAGUUCACUCUUUCUGCUGCUGUUCCGGGG